This 478-nucleotide ribosomal RNA is filed under the name uncultured bacterium. Its description in RNAcentral is "partial 16S ribosomal RNA". It matches the Rfam family "Bacterial small subunit ribosomal RNA", at positions 28 to 523 of the family's 1533-position model. The record is from RNAcentral.
GACGAACGCUGGCGGCGUGCUUAACACAUGCAAGUCGAACGGAAAGGCCCUUCGGGGUACUCGAGUGGCGAACGGGUGAGUAACACGUGGGUGAUCUGCCCUGCACUUUGGGAUAAGCCUGGGAAACUGGGUCUAAUACCGAAUAUGACCGCGCUCUUCAUGGGGUGUGGUGGAAAGCUUUUGCGGUGUGGGAUGGGCCCGCGGCCUAUCAGCUUGUUGGUGGGGUAAUGGCCUACCAAGGCGACGACGGGUAGCCGGCCUGAGAGGGUGACCGGCCACACUGGGACUGAGAUACGGCCCAGACUCCUACGGGAGGCAGCAGUGGGGAAUAUUGCACAAUGGGCGCAAGCCUGAUGCAGCGACGCCGCGUGAGGGAUGACGGCCUUCGGGUUGUAAACCUCUUUCAAUAGGGACGAAGCGCAAGUGACGGUACCUAUAGAAGAAGGACCGGCCAACUACGUGCCAGCGGCCGCAGUAA